This 733-nucleotide ribosomal RNA is filed under the name Agromyces sp. Its description in RNAcentral is "bacterial SSU rRNA". It matches the Rfam family "Bacterial small subunit ribosomal RNA", at positions 656 to 1385 of the family's 1533-position model. The record is from RNAcentral. Lineage: Bacteria; Bacillati; Actinomycetota; Actinomycetes; Micrococcales; Microbacteriaceae.
GGAGAAUUGAAUUCCUGGUGUAGCGGUGGAAUGCGCAGAUAUCAGGAGGAACACCGAUGGCGAAGGCAGUUCUCUGGGCCGUAACAGUCGCUGAGGAGCGAAAGCGUGUGGAGCGAACAGGAUUAUAUACCCUGAUAGUCCACGCUGUAAACGCUGGGCGCUAGAUGUGGGGACCUUUCCACGGUUUCCGUGUCGGAGCUAACGCAUUAAGCGCCCCGCCUGGGGAGUACGGCCGCAAGGCUAAAACUCAAAGGAAUUGACGGGGGCCCGCACAAGCGGCGGAGCAUGCGGAUUAAUUCGAUGCAACGCGAAGAACCUUACCAAAGGCUUGACAUAACCGAGAACGCCGCAGAAAUGUGGAACUCUUUGGACACUCGGUUACAGGUGGUGCAUGGUUGUCGUCAGCUCGUGUCGUGAGAUGUUGGGUUAAGUCCCGCAACGAGCGCAACCCUCGUCGCAUGUUGCCAGCACGUAAUGGUGGGAACUCAUGUGAGACUGCCGGGGUCAACUCGGAGGAAGGUGGGGAUGACGUCAAAUCAUCAUGCCCCUUAUGUCUUGGGCUUCACGCAUGCUACAAUGGCCGGUACAAAGGGCUGCGAUGUCGUAAGGCGGAGCGAAUCCCAAAAAGCCGGUCUCAGUUCGGAUUGAGGUCUGCAACUCGACCUCAUGAAGUCGGAGUCGCUAGUAAUCGCAGAUCAGCAAAGCUGCGGUGAAUACGUUCCCGGGCCUUCCC